Non-coding RNA from Candidatus Schekmanbacteria bacterium RBG_16_38_10, 74 nucleotides. The record is from Rfam. Lineage: Bacteria; Candidatus Schekmaniibacteriota.
UGCGGGGUGGAGCAGUCUGGUAGCUCGUCGGGCUCAUAACCCGAAGGUCACAGGUUCAAAUCCUGUCCCCGCUA